AGCGGGGCACUUCGGUGCUUUAGCGGCGAACGGGUGAGUAACACGUAGGUAAUGUACCUUCUGGUGGGGAAUAACCGUGGGAAACCAUGGCUAAUACCGCAUAUCGCGCUUCGGCGUGAAAGCCUUCGGGCGCCAGUUGAGCAGCCUGCGUCCCAUUAUUUAGUCCUAGUUGGUGAGGUAAUGGCUCACCAAGGGUACGAUGGGUAGCUGGUCUGAGAAGAUGAUCAGCCACACUGGAACUGAGACACGGUCCAGACUCCUACGGGAGGCAGCAGUGGGGAAUAUUGCGCAAUGGGCGAAAGCCUGACGCAGCCACGCCGCGUGAGUGAUGAAGGCCUUCGGGUUGCAAAGCUCUGUCGGGAGGGACGAAGGGGAAACCCUGACGGUACCUCGCAAGAAAGCACCGGCUAACUCUGUGCCAGCAGCCGCGGUAAUACAGAGGGUGCAAGCGUUGCUCGGAUUUACUGGGCGUAAAGCGUACGCAGACGGUGAGAAAGGUCGGAUGUGAAAGCCCCGGGCUCAACCCGGGAACUGCAUCCGAAACCAUCUCGCUCGAGUGUGGGAGAGGGAAGCGGAAUUCCUGGUGUAGAGGUGAAAUUCGUAGAUAUCAGGAGGAACACCGGCGGCGAAGGCGGCUUCCUGGCCCAUUACUGACGUUCAGGUACGAAAGCGUGGGUAGCAAACAGGAUUAGAUACCCUGGUAGUCCACGCCGUAAACGA
RNAcentral lists this ribosomal RNA (720 nucleotides) under uncultured Pseudomonadota bacterium. RNAcentral's name for it is "bacterial SSU rRNA". It matches the Rfam family "Bacterial small subunit ribosomal RNA", at positions 65 to 809 of the family's 1533-position model. Lineage: Bacteria; Pseudomonadati; Pseudomonadota. The record is from RNAcentral.